GUGCCAGCAGCCGCGGUAAUACGGAGGGUGCAAGCGUUAAUCGGAAUUACUGGGCGUAAAGCGCACGCAGGCGGUUGGAUAAGUUAGAUGUGAAAGCCCCGGGCUCAACCUGGGAAUUGCAUUUAAAACUGUCCAGCUAGAGUCUUGUAGAGGGGGGUAGAAUUCCAGGUGUAACGGUGAAAUGCGUAUAGAUCUGGAGGAAUACCGGGUGGGCAAUGGCGGCCCCCUGGACCAAAGACUGACGUUCAUGUGCAAAGCGUGGGGAGCAAACAGGAUUAGAUACCUUGGUAGUUC
RNAcentral lists this ribosomal RNA (294 nucleotides) under uncultured microorganism. RNAcentral's name for it is "partial 16S ribosomal RNA". It matches the Rfam family "Bacterial small subunit ribosomal RNA", at positions 505 to 796 of the family's 1533-position model. The record is from RNAcentral.